This 29-nucleotide non-coding RNA is filed under the name Rattus norvegicus (Norway rat). The record is from RNAcentral. Lineage: Eukaryota; Metazoa; Chordata; Mammalia; Rodentia; Muridae.
UCCUAAUAGGACAAAUGGCCGUGCACAUC